Long non-coding RNA from Betta splendens (Siamese fighting fish), 2642 nucleotides. RefSeq lists it as uncharacterized. Lineage: Eukaryota; Metazoa; Chordata; Actinopteri; Anabantiformes; Osphronemidae. The record is from RefSeq and is a predicted model, not a curated record. The transcript is spliced from 6 exons.
AUUUAAAAAAAUUACAUUAUCAAACAAGCUGUUAACGAUGUUUGCUAGUUACCUUUUCAAUGGUAACUGUGGUGGGAAUAGAAGGAACACAACCAAAAAAACCAAGAUGGCUGACGUGGUAGCAUGAAGGGCCUGGUGUGAAGACAGCCGGUUCAGCCCGGUUCUGCACAGAUGAGACGGAAGCCUCGUCAUGGAGUUUGGAGGAUGAGGAAGGGAUUGGCCGGGGUGCUCACGCUAACCUCCAAGGCUCAUGUUACCGUCAGUCAUCUUUCCAGGUGUUUCAGAUGGAGACUUGAAAAGUGGCUGUGAAAAUGUGACUCCGUUUUUGGACGUCUUCUCCUCGCGUGCUUUGAUCCCUGUUUAAGAGCAGCUGACGAGGAACAGAAGAAGACAGCAGCCACACUCACACCCGCCUCCUCUCCUGUAAAUUCCCUCCUUUAAUUAAAAGGCUGGAGUUAAUUGAUUGUUUUGGUUUCCCAUUCACGUCAAGAGAGAAUAAUGUUCACCCUAUUCAUGCUGCUUUAAAGCAAAAUGAGUUUACUUCAUCAGCCCACCUAAACCGCCCAGUUCUCCCCCUCCCACCUCCCCCGUUCCUUCCCCAACCUCAAACCACACCCGAGUGAAAAUCCAUCCAGCAGCAAAAAUUGCAGGGCAAGUGCCUUUGAGUCAGGCUGAUUAAAAGACCCAAGCACCCCAUUUCAAAGAGAAUGUAAACAGUAUUAUGAGCAGGCCGCCUGCAGUGACUCACCCCAAACUGUUAUUACAUCUACCUUAUGAUGCCGCGCAGUGUUUCAUCUCUCUGCAGUUUUUCAGCAGCGAGAUAAGCCUGGGAUCGCUGAGGUAAGCUAAGUGGCCUUAAAAGCAUCCCUAAGCGGUUAAUAAGUACGUACUAAUGACCCCCGAACACGUCUUAUCAACAUGAAACCGCCUGAUAGAUCCCAGGCACAUCCAGAGGGGGGGGGGGCGGCGUUUUGAUUUACUGCUCCGUAAAUUUGCAGCUGCCAGAAAAACACGAGAAUCGUUUUUCAGGACAGUUGCAACAUGCAGGUAUUGAGCCAAAUACACAUACCUCUGCUGAUCUACUACCCACGCACAGCUUCAUCUCUCAAUACCUCCCUGCAGUUAUCUGAACACAAAUUUCUCAUUAUCUCCCUUUUGCUUGGAUUAUUAUAUCUGUAGUCAACAUUCACGGAGUGGAAAGAACAUUUAUGUACAGCAUGAGAGAUGAAAACAGUGUCUUUUCUGGUUGUUGCGGCUACACACUGGUUGCUGAUUCCAGGAUUGGGUGGCGUCCAGAUUUAGGUGAUGGAAAAGAAAAACAAAUCCGACAACCGAUCAUUCAAUGCUGCCAACACGUCUUCAAGAUCCAAACAGACAUGUCCAUCAGGAGAAUGAGGGGGAAAUAGAAGAAAGGACUAGACUAGAACACUCACAAGUAAACACAGAUAGUCUGAGGUAAACAAAAAAAUGUAGAUUUUUUUAAUUAUGUUUAGUAAAAGAUGCAACUGCAGUUAAAACGUGUUUUUCAAUCAGUUUGUAGCAUUUAAAAUUUGUUGAGUUCCUUAAGCAGCAAUGAGUCAAGGUCAUUCACAUAUUUGUUGCUCCCCAGUGCUCCAUUAAUUACGGCGCUUCUCUAAAUGUCCUCAUCUGAUGGGAAAUCACUUCAGGUGAUGUUCAGGCAGUAAAUUACUGUGUGGCUGCAGAACAACCCCAAGCAGCGGGGUGUCUUUCCUGCUGUGGACACAAAUCUUAAAGAGGGGGGUCAGAGGGAUUAUCCCGAGAGAAGGCUUAAAUAAUGACACAAGUGAGGAACAAAAGGGGACGGUCACCGAAUGAAAGAGAGAGAAGAGGGGAGCCAUUGUGCAACGGAGCAGGCCUCCUCAGACCUAAUUACCUCUCAUUGGUCCUCAUUGAGCCUUGUUGUGAUAAUGCCGGGGGAAGGGGCACGCUGGGCACAGCCAGCAGAGGUGUGCAGAUGACCCUAAACGUGGAGGAUGCGACAGGAACAGCAGCCAUGUCUUCAAAUCGGAUCAAAUGUGUUGAGCUGCUCUUAUUUUGGAAACAUCCAUGACGUGAUGGUGGUGCCUGGAAUGGAUGCAGCUCCACCCUGCUUCUUGUGAACAAGCAAAAGCCCCCCAGGCUUCUUCAGCUGUGAAUCCUCCUACCUGCACCUCCACCCAGCUGAUGAAAUCCUCUGAAAUCCUGAGGGACUGGGCUGCAUCCUGUUUGGUUCAUCUCAGUUGUAUGGGCUCUCAUGAUGGGGUAUUUUCAUAGGGCUACUGUAUUUAGGCAAGUUUCAUCAUGUAUGUUUGUAUUUAUUUGCUUUUGUGCCUCCACAGUGCUUUACUGGUCUGGUCUGUCCAGAUCAAAUGAAAUAAAUGAAGACUCAAUCCAAACAGGACAGGAGAAAUGUCACAUUAUAAAAAUUAAAUUUGCUUGUUAAAUGACCAGUUUGUAUGUUUUCAAUAUUGCUAUUUUCAAUAUUGCUAGACUGGGUCAUGUUUCAGCAAGAUAAGUUAAUAUUUCCUGCAGAUUAUGUCUGUUUGUGUUUCUUGCCGCUUUCAGUGGGAAACUUUCCUUCACACCUGAUAAAAUAUACUUCGUCAACCAUACUCUCAUCCUGUUUAGGGGCCGUAUUAUUA